Molecule: long non-coding RNA, 584 nt
Organism: Oenanthe melanoleuca
Lineage: Eukaryota; Metazoa; Chordata; Aves; Passeriformes; Muscicapidae
Exons: 3
Source: RefSeq, a predicted model, not a curated record
ACCAUCUGCGGGGUCCUGCACAGGGACAUCAAAGCAGAGACCAUCCUGCUCAACCUGGCCACUGGGCAGCUGAAACUGAUCGACUGUGGCUGUAGCACCUUCCUCCAAGAAAGCCUACACCCCGUUUGUAGGAACCCUGUCCUACAGCCCGCCAGACUAGUUCCACCACCAACGCUACCACAGUGAGGCAGCAAAGAUCUGGUCCCUGGGCCUCCUGCUGUCCCACCUGGUCAUGGGGAAGCACCUGUUCAGGAGGGACCAGGAGAUCAUCUGGGGAUGGAUCUUGUUCCCACGAGGGCUUUCUCAAGAGUGCCAAGAUGUUAUUAAGAGGUGUUUGUCCAUUCAACCCUUGGACAGGCCAUCCUUAGAAAACCUUUUCUGGGAUCCUUGGCUGCAGGGUGUUCAUCUGCCCUAGAAGAUGGGAGAGAUCCUCGUGCACAUUUGGAUCCAGGGGCCUGGCAUGUAUAUGCUGCACACAUCUCUUGGCAAUCACUGGAAAAGCAAACCAGACUGGUUUUGUCUUGCCUGUUACUCUGAGCAGUGAUCAUCAGAAGGGAACACACAGUUCAUGGGCUGGAGCUGAG